Podarcis lilfordi (Lilford's wall lizard) is the source of this 73-nucleotide non-coding RNA. The record is from the annotation of a GenBank genome assembly. NCBI's taxonomy places the organism in Eukaryota, Metazoa, Chordata, Lepidosauria, Squamata, Lacertidae.
AGGCCUGUGGAUCAGUGGUAGAGCAUCUACUUUGCAUGCAAAAGGUCCUAGGUUCCAUCUCCAGCUAGGACUG